This 756-nucleotide ribosomal RNA is filed under the name Shigella sonnei. RNAcentral describes it as "partial 23S ribosomal RNA". It matches the Rfam family "Bacterial large subunit ribosomal RNA", at positions 2187 to 2925 of the family's 2925-position model. Lineage: Bacteria; Pseudomonadati; Pseudomonadota; Gammaproteobacteria; Enterobacterales; Enterobacteriaceae. The record is from RNAcentral.
CGGCCUUGAAAUACCACCCUUUAAUGUUUGAUGUUCUAACGUGGACCCGUGAUCCGGGUUGCGGACAGUGUCUGGUGGGUAGUUUGACUGGGGCGGUCUCCUCCUAAAGAGUAACGGAGGAGCACGAAGGUUGGCUAAUCCUGGUCGGACAUCAGGAGGUUAGUGCAAUGGCAUAAGCCAGCUUGACUGCGAGCGUGACGGCGCGAGCAGGUGCGAAAGCAGGUCAUAGUGAUCCGGUGGUUCUGAAUGGAAGGGCCAUCGCUCAACGGAUAAAAGGUACUCCGGGGAUAACAGGCUGAUACCGCCCAAGAGUUCAUAUCGACGGCGGUGUUUGGCACCUCGAUGUCGGCUCAUCACAUCCUGGGGCUGAAGUAGGUCCCAAGGGUAUGGCUGUUCGCCAUUUAAAGUGGUACGCGAGCUGGGUUUAGAACGUCGUGAGACAGUUCGGUCCCUAUCUGCCGUGGGCGCUGGAGAACUGAGGGGGGCUGCUCCUAGUACGAGAGGACCGGAGUGGACGCAUCACUGGUGUUCGGGUUGUCAUGCCAAUGGCACUGCCCGGUAGCUAAAUGCGGAAGAGAUAAGUGCUGAAAGCAUCUAAGCACGAAACUUGCCCCGAGAUGAGUUCUCCCUGACCCUUUAAGGGUCCUGAAGGAACGUUGAAGACGACGACGUUGAUAGGCCGGGUGUGUAAGCGCAGCGAUGCGUUGAGCUAACCGGUACUAAUGAACCGUGAGGCUUAACCUUACAACGCCGAAG